Molecule: ribosomal RNA, 253 nt
Filed under: uncultured bacterium
Lineage: Bacteria
Description: partial 16S ribosomal RNA
Rfam family: Bacterial small subunit ribosomal RNA
Source: RNAcentral
UACGUAGGGUGCAAGCGUUAAUCGGAAUUACUAGGCGUAAAGCGUGCGCAGGCGGUGAUGUAAGACAGUUGUGAAAUCCCCGGGCUCAACCUGGGAACUGCAUCUGUGACUGCAUUGCUGGAGUGCGGCAGAGGGGGAUGGAAUUCCGCGUGUAGCAGUGAAAUGCGUAGAUAUGCGGAGGAACACCGAUGGCGAAGGCAAUCCCCUGGGCCUGCACUGACGCUCAUGCACGAAAGCGUGGGGAGCAAACAGG